This 486-nucleotide ribosomal RNA is filed under the name uncultured bacterium. RNAcentral describes it as "bacterial SSU rRNA". It matches the Rfam family "Bacterial small subunit ribosomal RNA", at positions 30 to 507 of the family's 1533-position model. RNAcentral also lists the same sequence under 1 other name. The record is from RNAcentral.
AUUGAACGCUGGCGGCAUGCUUUACACAUGCAAGUCGAACGGUAACAGGGAGCUUGCUCCGCUGACGAGUGGCGAACGGGUGAGUAAUGCAUCGGAACGUGCCUAUUUGUGGGGGAUAACGUAGCGAAAGUUACGCUAAUACCGCAUACGCCCUGAGGGGGAAAGCGGGGGAUUCGUAAGAACCUCGCGCAAUUAGAGCGGCCGAUGUCGGAUUAGCUAGUUGGUGGGGUAAAGGCUCACCAAGGCGACGAUCCGUAGCGGGUCUGAGAGGAUGAUCCGCCACACUGGGACUGAGACACGGCCCAGACUCCUACGGGAGGCAGCAGUGGGGAAUUUUGGACAAUGGGCGAAAGCCUGAUCCAGCCAUGCCGCGUGAGUGAAGAAGGCCUUCGGGUUGUAAAGCUCUUUCAGCCGGAAAGAAAUCGCGCAGGCUAAUACUCUGCGUGGAUGACGGUACCGGAAGAAGAAGCACCGGCUAACUACGUG